AACGAACGCUGGCGGCAUGCCUAACACAUGCAAGUCGAACGAUACCUUCGGGUCUUGUGUCGCACGGGUUCGUAACGCGUGGGAACCUUCCCUUAUGUUCGGAAUAACUCCCCGAAAGGGGUGCUAAUACCGGAUAAUGUCUUCGGACCAAGGAUUUAUCGCCUUUGGGUGGGCCCGCGUUGGUUUAGCUAGUUGGUAGGGUAAAAGCCUACCAAGGCGACGAUCCAUAGCUGGUCUGAGAGGAUGAUCAGCCACACUGGGAAUGAGACACGGCGCAGACUCCUACGGGAGGCAGCAGUGGGGAAUAUAGGACAAUGGGCGAAAGACUGAUACAGCAAGGCGGAGAGAGUGAUGAAGGGGGUAGGGUUGUAAAGCUAUUUUACAGGGGAUGAUAAUGACAGAACCGGGAGAAUAAGCUCCGGCUAACUCCGU
RNAcentral lists this ribosomal RNA (432 nucleotides) under uncultured bacterium. RNAcentral's name for it is "partial 16S ribosomal RNA". It matches the Rfam family "Bacterial small subunit ribosomal RNA", at positions 29 to 506 of the family's 1533-position model. The record is from RNAcentral.